UCCGGUGCUGUCCGACCCCUGCGAUGUGAUCCGGCGGUAACGGGUGUGCGCUUGGGCGCCUCGGCGGUGCCCGGUGCUCGUCGGCCCUCGCCAAGGCCUUCCGCCGGCGCAGCUGGCAGCCGCUGCAGCCGCUCUCCUCGCCGCUUCCCCGGGGCUCAGAGCAGGGCAGGUGCCCGGUGCCCCUCGUGAGGAGCGGGCUGGCGGUGGCGCAGCAGGGCUCGGCUGCGGGCGGGGAGUUCUGAAGAGCCACCGAGCGCCGCUGUGCCCGGCCUCGCUAACAGCCGGUGCCAGAGGGUUAUUUAUUCCACACUGUCAGUGGGAAACAUCAAGAUCUCAAGUACAUCGACUCAGAAGUGGUGUGUCCUUCAGGGAACAAGGAGCAACGAACAUUCUCUGCUGGGCAAGGCAAUGACCCAAAACCAUUUCAAACUGACUGAGCUCUGGGAGUUUGUUUCAAGAUUGUGUCUGUGCUACCUGGGAGGUUUGAUGGCUUCAUCUGGAAGUGCCUGACCACUGACUGUAGAUACCCCUAGGAGUACCAAGGAGGACACAUCAAGGUAUGUUGACCACAUAGGAGCAAUGUGAAGAUGUCUGAAGAUGCAAAGAGGUCACUGGGGCUGCUCUUGACUUACCAGGAUCUGAGACAGUGUGGAUGUGUUAGAGCCAAGGUGCCUCAGUGCCCCGCUCAGCUAAACAUUAAACAGAGGUAAACACUGCUGCA
Molecule: long non-coding RNA, 721 nt
Organism: Pogoniulus pusillus (Red-fronted tinkerbird)
Lineage: Eukaryota; Metazoa; Chordata; Aves; Piciformes; Lybiidae
Exons: 2
Source: RefSeq, a predicted model, not a curated record